UACGGGAGGCAGCAGUGGGGAAUAUUGCGCAAUGGGGGAAACCCUGUNCGCAGCAACGCCGCGUGAGUGAGGAAGUAUUUCGGUAUGUAAAGCUCUAUCAGCGGGGACGAAAAUGACGGUACCCGCAGAAGAAGUCCCGGCUAACUACGUGCCAGCAGCCGCGGUAAU
RNAcentral lists this ribosomal RNA (168 nucleotides) under uncultured rumen bacterium. RNAcentral describes it as "partial 16S ribosomal RNA". It matches the Rfam family "Bacterial small subunit ribosomal RNA", at positions 340 to 524 of the family's 1533-position model. The record is from RNAcentral.